AGAGUUUGAUCCUGGCUCAGGAUGAACGCUGGCGGCGUGCUUAACACAUGCAAGUCGAACGAUCCUUCGGGAUAGUGGCGGACGGGUGAGUAACGCGUGGGAAUCUGCCCUCAGGAGGGGGAUAACGGCUGGAAACGGCCGCUAAUACCCCAUAUGCCGAGAGGUGAAAUGAAUUUCGCCUGAGGAUGAGCCCGCGUCUGAUUAGCUAGUUGGUGGGGUAAAGGCCUACCAAGGCAACGAUCAGUAGCUGGUCUGAGAGGAUGAUCAGCCACACUGGGACUGAGACACGGCCCAGACUCCUACGGGAGGCAGCAGUGGGGAAUUUUCCGCAAUGGGCGAAAGCCUGACGGAGCAACGCCGCGUGAGGGAUGAAGGCCUCUGGGCUGUAAACCUCUUUUCUCAAGGAAGAAGACCUGACGGUACUUGAGGAAUAAGCCACGGCUAAUUCCGUGCCAGCAGCCGCGGUAAUACGGGAGUGGCAAGCGUUAUCCGGAAUUAUUGGGCGUAAAGCGUCCGCAGGCGGCCUUGUAAGUCUGUUGUUAAAGCGUGGAGCUCAACUCCAUUUAAGCAAUGGAAACUACAAGGCUGGAGUGUGGUAGGGGCAGAGGGAAUUCCCGGUGUAGCGGUGAAAUGCGUAGAUAUCGGGAAGAACACCAGUGGCGAAGGCGCUCUGCUGGGCCAUAACUGACGCUCAUGGACGAAAGCCAGGGGAGCGAAAGGGAUUAGAUACCCCUGUAGUCCUGGCCGUAAACGAUGAACACUAGGUGUCGGGGGAAUCGACCCCCUCGGUGUCGUAGCCAACGCGUUAAGUGUUCCGCCUGGGGAGUACGCACGCAAGUGUGAAACUCAAAGGAAUUGACGGGGGCCCGCACAAGCGGUGGAGUAUGUGGUUUAAUUCGGUGCAACGCGAAGAACCUUACCAGGGUUUGACAUCCUGCGAACCCCUGAGAAAUCGGGGGGUGCCUUCGGGAGCGCAGAGACAGGUGGUGCAUGGCUGUCGUCAGCUCGUGUCUUGAGAUGUUGGGUUAAGUCCCGCAACGAGCGCAACCCACGUCUUUAGUUGCCAGCAUUCAGUUGGGCACUCUAGAGAGACCGCCGGUGAUAAACCGGAGGAAGGUGUGGAUGACGUCAAGUCAUCAUGCCCCUUACAUCCUGGGCUACACACGUACUACAAUGCUACGGACAAAGGGCAGCAAGCUCGCGAGAGUUAGCAAAUCCCAUAAACCGUGGCUCAGUUCAGAUCGUAGGCUGCAACUCGCCUACGUGAAGGAGGAAUCGCUAGUAAUCGCAGGUCAGCAUACUGCGGUGAAUACGUUCCCGGGCCUUGUACACACCGCCCGUCACACCAUGGAAGUU
RNAcentral lists this ribosomal RNA (1356 nucleotides) under metagenome. RNAcentral's name for it is "bacterial SSU rRNA". It matches the Rfam family "Bacterial small subunit ribosomal RNA". The record is from RNAcentral.